Molecule: small RNA, 574 nt
Filed under: Pan troglodytes (chimpanzee)
Lineage: Eukaryota; Metazoa; Chordata; Mammalia; Primates; Hominidae
Description: processed transcript
Source: RNAcentral
ACAGUGCUUGUUCGGGGCGCUCCGCUGGCUUCUUGGACAAUUGCGCCAUGUGUGCUGCUCGGCUAGCGGCGGCGGCGGCCCAGUCGGUGUAUGCCUUCUCGGCGCGCCCGCUGGCCGGCGGGGAGCCUGUGAGCCUGGGCUCCCUGCGGGGCAAGGUACUACUUAUCGAGAACGUGGCGUCCCUCUGAGGCACCACGGUCCGGGACUACACCCAGAUGAACGAGCUGCAGCGGCGCCUCGGACCCCGGGGCCUGGUGGUGCUCGGCUUCCCGUGCAACCAGUUUGGGCAUCAGCUGCUGAAAUUCCUGUCCGCCCUUGGGAUUGCGCAUGGAAGGCAAAAUCCCGGUGACUCAUAGAAAAACUCCCUUGUUUGUGGUUAGAACGUUUCCCUCCUCCUCUUGACCCCGGGUCCUAGCUGCCCUUCUCUCCUGUAGGAGAACGCCAAGAACGAAGAGAUUCUGAAUUCCCUCAAGUACGUCCGGCCUGGUGGUGGGUUCGAGCCCAACUUCAUGCUCUUCGAGAAGUGCGAGGUGAACGGUGCGGGGGCGCACCCUCUCUUCGCCUUCCUGCGGGA